RNAcentral lists this ribosomal RNA (253 nucleotides) under uncultured bacterium. RNAcentral describes it as "partial 16S ribosomal RNA". It matches the Rfam family "Bacterial small subunit ribosomal RNA", at positions 524 to 776 of the family's 1533-position model. The record is from RNAcentral.
UACGGGGGGGGCAAGCGUUGUUCGGAAUUACUGGGCGUAAAGGGUUCGUAGGCGGCCAACUAAGUCAGACGUGAAAUCCCUCAGCUUAACUGGGGAACUGCGUCUGAUACUGGUUGGCUCGAGUGCAGGAGAGGAACGCGGAAUUCCAGGUGUAGCGGUGAAAUGCGUAGAUAUCUGGAGGAACACCGGUGGCGAAGGCGGCGUUCUGGACUGCAACUGACACUGAGGAACGAAAGCCAGGGGAGCAAACGGG